Molecule: ribosomal RNA, 324 nt
Filed under: uncultured eukaryote
Lineage: Eukaryota
Description: partial 18S ribosomal RNA
Rfam family: Eukaryotic small subunit ribosomal RNA
Source: RNAcentral
CCCUUAGAUGUUCUGGGCCGCACGCGCGCUACACUGAUGCAUUCAACGAGUUUCUUCCUGGUCCGAGAGGAAUGGGUAACCUUUUGAAAGUGCAUCGCGAUAGGGAUAGACUAUUGCAAUUAUUGAUCUUGAACGAGGAAUUCCUAGUAAACGCGAGUCAUCAGCUCGCAUUGAUUACGUCCCUGCCCUUUGUACACACCGCCCGUCGCACCUACCGAUUGAAUGUUUCGGUGAAGAUUCCGGAUAGGACUGAUUUGAUUUAUUUCAUUUCUGACCUAAAAGCUAUCUAAACCUCAACAUUUAGAGGAAGGUGAAGUCGUAACA